AUUGAACGCUGGCGGCAGGCUUAACACAUGCAAGUCGAGCGGGGAAGGUUGCUUCGGUAACUGACCUAGCGGCGGACGGGUGAGUAGUGCUUAGGAAUCUGCCUAUUAGUGGGGGACAACGUUCCGAAAGGAACGCUAAUACCGCAUACGCCCUACGGGGGAAAGCAGGGGAUCUUCGGACCUUGCGCUAAUAGAUGAGCCUAAGUCGGAUUAGCUAGUUGGUGGGGUAAAGGCCUACCAAGGCGACGAUCUGGAGCGGGUCUGAGAGGAUGAUCCGCCACACUGGGACUGAGACACGGCCCAGACUCCUACGGGAGGCAGCAGUGGGGAAUAUUGGACAAUGGGCGGAAGCCUGAUCCAGCCAUGCCGCGUGUGUGAAGAAGGCCUUUUGGUUGUAAAGCACUUUAAGCGAGGAGGAGGCUCCUUUAGUUAAUACCUAAAGUGAGUGGACGUUACUCGCAGAAUAAGCACCGGCUAACUCUGUGCCAGCAGCCGCAGUAA
This 501-nucleotide ribosomal RNA is filed under the name uncultured bacterium. RNAcentral describes it as "partial 16S ribosomal RNA". It matches the Rfam family "Bacterial small subunit ribosomal RNA", at positions 30 to 523 of the family's 1533-position model. The record is from RNAcentral.